GAAACACGGACCAAGGAGUCUAACAUGUACGCGAGUCAUUGGGCACCACGAAACCCAAGGGCGCAUUGAACGAAAAGGCGGGCCUCGUGCCCGCCGAGGGGAGAUGGGGCGGCGCUCGCGUCGCCCCCGCAUCCCCGGGGCGUCUCACCCUACCCGGGCUCGUCUCGGGAAGGAGAGGCGCACCAAGAGCGUACACGUUGGGACCCGAAAGAUGGUGAACUAUGCCUGGCCAGGACGAAGUCAGGGGAAACCCUGAUGGAGGUCCGUAGCGAUUCUGACGUGCAAAUCGAUCGUCGGAGCUGGGUAUAGGGGCGAAAGACUAAUCGAACCAUCUAGUAGCUGGUUCCCUCCGAAGUUUCCCUCAGGAUAGCUGGCGCUCGCUGUGACGAGUCCCAUCCGGUAAAGCGAAUGAUUAGAGGCCUUGGGGUCGAAACGAUCUCAACCUAUUCUCAAACUUUAAAUGGGUGGGAUCCGCGGCUUGCUUGAAUUAGUGAAGCCGCGGACUCGGAUCGGAGUGCCCAGUGGGCCACUUUUGGUAAGCAGAACUGGCGCUGUGGGAUGAACCAAACGCCGGGUUAAGGCGCCCGAAUAAACGCUCAUCCGAAACCAUGAAAGGUGUUGGUUGCUUAAGACAGCAGGACGGUGGCCAUGGAAGUCGGAAUCCGCUAAGGAGUGUGUAACAACUCACCUGCCGAAGCAACUAGCCCUGAAAAUGGAUGGCGCUGAAGCGUUUUGCCUAUACCCGGCCGCCGGUGGCAAAGGGCGCCGGCCUUCGGGCUGGCGUCGCCAAGCCCCGGUGAGUAGGAGGGUCGCGACGGUGUGCGCAGAAGGGUCUGGGCGUGAGCCUGCCUGGAGCCGCCGUCGGUGCAGAUCUUGGUGGUAGUAGCA
RNAcentral lists this ribosomal RNA (888 nucleotides) under Cincticostella insolta. RNAcentral's name for it is "eukaryotic LSU rRNA". It matches the Rfam family "Eukaryotic large subunit ribosomal RNA", at positions 656 to 1465 of the family's 3401-position model. The record is from RNAcentral. Lineage: Eukaryota; Metazoa; Arthropoda; Insecta; Ephemeroptera; Ephemerellidae.